GGGAUAUAGUUCAAUGGAAGAAUAAUAAUCUCCAAAAUUAAAGAUGGGGGUUCGAAUCCCCUUAUCUCC
This 69-nucleotide transfer RNA is filed under the name human gut metagenome. It matches the Rfam family "tRNA". From Rfam's summary of the family: Transfer RNA (tRNA) molecules are approximately 80 nucleotides in length. Their secondary structure includes four short double-helical elements and three loops (D, anti-codon, and T loops). Further hydrogen bonds mediate the characteristic L-shaped molecular structure. tRNAs have two regions of fundamental functional importance: the anti-codon, which is responsible for specific mRNA codon recognition, and the 3' end, to which the tRNAs corresponding amino acid is attached (by aminoacyl-tRNA synthetases). tRNAs cope with the degeneracy of the genetic code in two manners: having more than one tRNA (with a specific anti-codon) for a particular amino acid; and 'wobble' base-pairing, i.e. permitting non-standard base-pairing at the 3rd anti-codon position. The record is from RNAcentral.